GAGGUUGUGGCUUAGUGGUAGAGCACUUGCCUUUCAUGUGUGAGGCACUGGGUUUAAUUCUCAGAACCACA
RNAcentral lists this transfer RNA (71 nucleotides) under Ictidomys tridecemlineatus (thirteen-lined ground squirrel). RNAcentral's name for it is "Spermophilus tridecemlineatus (thirteen-lined ground squirrel) tRNA". It matches the Rfam family "tRNA". From Rfam's summary of the family: Transfer RNA (tRNA) molecules are approximately 80 nucleotides in length. Their secondary structure includes four short double-helical elements and three loops (D, anti-codon, and T loops). The record is from Rfam by way of RNAcentral. Lineage: Eukaryota; Metazoa; Chordata; Mammalia; Rodentia; Sciuridae.